AACAAUGAUUUUGUUUCAAUUUUAUUGCCUGAAGUUCAGUGUCUAUUUAUUAGGUAUUUUAUGCCUCUCCCCUACUUUUAAAACCUCUAUAAAACUGCUGAAACAAGGAAGGGAUAUGCCUUUUAUAGACAAGACCUAAGGCAACCUUCAUAUUUUCAAUUACACCCUAGGUCACUCUUUUAAUUUCAUUUCUUGCUUGUUUAGUCCCUCAUUUUAGACCUUGUGGCCCAAGUUAGACCACUAAAUCCCUGAUAUUCUAAUUAGAACCCCAUCUUGAAAGUUUUAGGGGUUUCCAAUCUCUCAGUUAUUUGCAGGAUUCCUUUUAUUAAAUUACCUCUAUUGCCCUUAAUUGAACUCUGAAUUACUAACCUAGUUGAACCUAGUCCAAUUUCUUUUACCUUGGUCAACUAACAAUGAUUAAUUAUUCAGGGGCUGGAAUCAAAU
Molecule: long non-coding RNA, 444 nt
Filed under: Nicotiana benthamiana
Lineage: Eukaryota; Viridiplantae; Streptophyta; Magnoliopsida; Solanales; Solanaceae
Description: long non-coding RNA (NBEN_LNC024230)
Source: RNAcentral